RNAcentral lists this non-coding RNA (24 nucleotides) under Cricetulus griseus (Chinese hamster). The record is from RNAcentral. Lineage: Eukaryota; Metazoa; Chordata; Mammalia; Rodentia; Cricetidae.
ACCAGAUUGCUCUACGUGCGGAAU